Molecule: long non-coding RNA, 1123 nt
Organism: Strigops habroptila (Kakapo)
Lineage: Eukaryota; Metazoa; Chordata; Aves; Psittaciformes; Psittacidae
Source: Ensembl
GAAGUUUAGCACUGUGCAGCUGAGAUUUUGUGCAGCCAGACGAUGCAUGAGAUGCUGAGUCCUCAGGAAGGGGGACCAAUGACUAAUAAAUGAGGUGUUUCCUCCUUCAGUAUAAGUCACCUACUGGCAUCAAUAAGAAGCAGAAGAAAGACGUUCUCCUAUUUACAUGAGAUAAUACAGACAAAUAGCUACAUGAAGUAGGUAAGAGCAUAUUUCAAGUCCUGCAUUUAGCAUACCAGCUAAGCUUAUCAAGAAUAGCUUGUUCUCUUUGAGCAAGACUGGAAAACUAUUUGCUAAGAAGGGAAUACAGGGAUAAGAAUAUGGCUUACACCAACAGGUAAAAUGAAGAAUCCAAGUCCUUCCUCAUCAGCUUUCUGUUGAGCCUGUGUCAAGAUCUACAUUGCAAUAUUCCCAUUUCAGAAACCCCAGACUUCGAAUCAUAGAAUCACUAAGGUUGGAAAAGACCUUUAAGAUCAUUGAGUCCAGCCAUUAACCCACCGCUGCCAAGUCCAGCACUAAACUAUGUCCCCAAACGCCACAUCUGCAUCUCAAAUCCCUCCAGGGAUGACGACUCCACCACUUCCCUGGACAUCCUGUUCCGGUGCAACCCUUUUGGUGAAGGAAUUGUUCCUAAUCUCCAAUCUAAACUUUUUCUGGUGCAACUUGGGGCAAUUUCCUCUUGUCCUAUCCCUUGUUACUUUAGAGAAGAGUCCAACCACCACCUGGCUACAACCUCCUUUCAGGUAGUUGUAAUCUAUUUAAUAAAAUCCUUGCAAUCUAACUAAACUAUGAACCUGAUGCUCAGCUAGGAAGGGACAAGAGCAGAUCUCUGGGGUUGAUGCUGGAGCUUUGGUAGCCCUGGCUUGCAUGGGACACACUCUCCUGCCUGCAUAACCUUCCCUUUCUCCCAGCUUGAGCCAGGUCAUGGCAAUGCAAAACCUGUCACACCAUCGGUUUAUUUUCCACUGGAUAAAAAUUAUUCUCAUAUACUCUGCAGACAGCAGAUACUAAAGAAGCCCUGAACAGAACAUGAAGAGCUAUGAGUAUACCCACAAAUGCAUGUUUACACAAAAUGUUGUUCCAAUAUAUUUGGAAAAUAAAGAGAGAUGAAUCUGUCAGUUAA